GUCUAUUGAAUCAUUUUUCGAGAAUUCGCCGAAACGACAGAAGGCAUAGCCUGGUCUGUUCACCGACAAAGUCAAAACACAGAUCGUCAUUUUUACCGACUGAAUGAAGAAAUAUUUAUGGCUAAAGUACCACGAAGAUGAAGGCAUGUUUUGUAAACAGGACAGCAGACCUAUGGACACAGAUCAGAAAAAGAAAUAUCACCAUCACCACAUUGUUUGAUCCUGAGGACAAUGAAGUGUGAAGUUGGGCUGUAA
Pecten maximus is the source of this 255-nucleotide long non-coding RNA. RefSeq lists it as uncharacterized. Lineage: Eukaryota; Metazoa; Mollusca; Bivalvia; Pectinida; Pectinidae. The transcript has 2 exons. The record is from RefSeq and is a predicted model, not a curated record.